Non-coding RNA from Oryctolagus cuniculus (rabbit), 899 nucleotides. Lineage: Eukaryota; Metazoa; Chordata; Mammalia; Lagomorpha; Leporidae. The record is from RefSeq and is a predicted model, not a curated record.
CUCUCCCCCCAGGUCCCUGCAGCCGUGGAGGUUGACCUCGCUGUUGCCAUGGAGAUUGUUGCCAUACACACAGACGGAAAGCCGGUGGAAGGACUGGGCUUCUAGUUGAGAAGAUACAGAUGAGGAGUUUUGAACUGGGGGUGAUUUUAACCUCCACUUCUAAUCAUGAAGACUUUGGCAGUGUCUGAAGACGUUUUUGAUCACCGUGAGACUGGGUCAUCUCUGAACUCUUUUAAUCUUUGGAAGAAGCAAUUUGUCAAUCAGCAUUAGCACUACAAAAAACAAAUGUCUCUGUUGUUGCCAUAGAGAAGUGAAUGUCUGUGUGGGAGCGUAAAGGACGUAAAUGACAGCACAACAUUGCUUUGUUUUGGCAACUCACACUGCCAGUGAUUAAAGUCCGUUUUAGAAAAACUGCCAAUCCCAGGUAUAGGUGAGUGGAAGGAAUCAUGGCCUUUGGAAUUUGACUAGCACAAAACCAGUACCUGGUACAACACCAUUAACUAAAUGCAAGCUUGGUCUGAAUCCUGCUCUUAGUGUUAUGGGACCUCUAAGUGCUGUACUUUUUUGAGCUGCAGGCGGCUGCUAUAAAAUGGAAACAGCAUGUCUAUUUUGCCGACCAAGAGAACACACUGUUCUUGCAUGGAAAUAGGGCAAAGAUGACAAUUCCAACGGCAGUGAUUUACUCUGUGACGGCACAGCAGAGAGCUUGCCAACGGGUAGUUUUUCAGAGGAGGUUUCAAAACCUCAGAUGAUAAAAAAAGCACUGAGCUGUCUUUGAACACUAAAAUAAUUAACCCCACAAUUGUAUUCAAUGUCUCAUCCUGAACUUGAAAAUAAAUGACAUCUGACUCAUCCUAAGGAAAAUAUGCAGUCUUUAAAAACCAGAAAAUAAAAAGAAA